Penaeus chinensis is the source of this 464-nucleotide long non-coding RNA. RefSeq lists it as uncharacterized. Lineage: Eukaryota; Metazoa; Arthropoda; Malacostraca; Decapoda; Penaeidae. The transcript has 2 exons. The record is from RefSeq and is a predicted model, not a curated record.
CCUAGCCAUGGCGUGCCUGACCCUGGCUGAUCCCAUUCCCUGUGGCACGGUGUCACCCUGUGGAGGGGGUUACGGGGGGGGAGGGUUCAGAGGCGGUGGGAGGGGAGGAGGAGGCCUUAACCUCAAGCUUUCUGGAGCGCUGAGCAUCAGGAAAGGAGGAGGAGGAGGAGGAGGAGGAUUCCGAAGAGGAGGAGGAGGAGGAGGUUUCAGGAGAGGCUUCGGAGGAGGAGGUUUCAAGAAGGGCUUCGGAGGAGGAGGAGGAGGACGAGCGAGGCCAGUCUACGUUCAACCCGUCAUCAUCAGCAAGGGAGGAGGAGGAGGCUACUACGGCGGCGGCGGCGGACACUGCUGCGGCUGAGGACCUGAGGAAGGCGCUGCUGGGGAAGGAGAUCCUCGCAGUCGCCGACUCGCUCGCAACGGGAUAAGUGGGCGUGUGUAAUGCGAGCAAUAAAGAGUCAUUCUCA